Molecule: ribosomal RNA, 599 nt
Filed under: Euplotes sp. B11
Lineage: Eukaryota; Ciliophora; Spirotrichea; Euplotida; Euplotidae
Description: SSU rRNA
Rfam family: Eukaryotic small subunit ribosomal RNA
Source: RNAcentral
UUGGACAACCAUGGCAUUCACGGGCUAUCGGGGGAUUAGGGGUGGAUUCUGGAGAGGGAGCGUGAGAAACGGCUACCAGUAUACGGAAGGCAGCAGGCGCGAAAAUUAUCCAAUCCUGAUUCAGGGAGGUAGUGAAAGAAAUAAUGAAUUAGGAUUUCUCUCGGGGUCCCAAUGGGCAUGAUCAGCAAACUUCAUUCAGCGAGGAACAAUUGGAGGGCAAGUCUGGUGCCAGCAGCCGCGGUAAUUCCAGCUCCAAUAGGGUAUAUUAAUGUUCCUGCAGUUAUUCGAUGCUCGUAGCGGAUUUAGGGGGGAUGAGAUUGGAAGGUGGCCAAGGUCUCCGCCGAACUCUUCCUUCAUCCACCUGUUAACGUUGUCCGGGAUUUGUUUCUCGGCUUCAGAUCUCAGGUAUUUUACCCUUUCUAUAUAUUCAUUUAUUUAUCUUCUUUUUGAGUAAAUUAUAGUGUUUCAGGCAGGCGUGCGCCGGAAUACUUUAGCAUGGAAUAAUCGAAUUGGACCGUGUAUUCUUAUAGAAUUCUUCCUUAUUUGUUGGUUUCAAGGACACGGAAAUGGUUAAUAGGGAUAGAGUUUUCAGGGGAGGC